AGAAGCCAUUAAUGGAUCACAGUAAAGAUUUCCCAGCCUGCCUCCUGCAUUCGUGAGGGUAAUAAAGUCAAGAUGAUCUUUAACAUAUAUCCUAGAAACAUAAUCACUCGUCUCUUCCACUAAAUUAAACUAGCAAAGGAUCAUGGAGUGAUAUAUGUUGGGAUUCCAACUUGCAGCAUCAUCCCAUACAUUCAUCUAUCUGGAUUUAAAGCAUUUGGUGAGACUGGGAAAACAACUGAUGUUAAAACCAUGUUAGCUUGAAAAAUAUAUAGCACAUGACAUUUUGGUGAAAUGGAGUUUAGAUUUCAUAAAUAAUUUCCUUCCAUCCACGUGGAAAAGAUUUGACAUUGUGUUCUAGCAUGAAUUGAAUGCUGAAAACAGAAUAGGGCUGAUCUUCAUUGUUCCCAUUGACCUUUCAAUGGGAAAAGCCAUAAAAGAAGUUUAAAAAAGCUAGAAUUAGGAAUACCAAAAACUGUAAGCAAAAUUUUUCAAACAUAAAAUAUAGUCUAAUCUUCUUUGACAAACACAAUUACAGAGCACUUUGCGGUUCAACGCUGAGACUGCAGCUCAACUCCCAUAAGAAGUGAUAAAAUAAAAUCAAACAAAAUAUAUAUCCAAAUCUCAAUUGUACAGCUACAGCAUGUAGAGGUCACUUCUAGGUAAAUUGAUAACAAAUCCCAGCAAAUGGAGGCAAACAAACUAUCCAAAUGCUAAGAUUGAGGAAGCUUGGCCAGUUUUUAAGGUCUACCUGAACCCAAUUGCACAAAAAAAGAACAUAAUUCAAAUGGUACGCAAGUACACUGAAGCAACAAAUCAGAGAGGCAGCUCAAAAGUUUCCAACUAUAUACAGACAUGUACAAAUUCAAAAGUAAAGAUGAAAUGAAACCCUAAAAUGUAGAGUAUUACUUCAGUGGAAAAUGACAAACCCUUACACAAAAAAACCCAUAAAUGAACCAAAGAAAGCUGAUCAAACCUUAAAUUCCCCAACAGAGUCAACAGAGAGACACACAGAGAGGCACACAUGAGUUUGUUAUUUACAUUUGUACCCAAAUUAAACUACCAUGACAGAGACAGAGAUAUA
RNAcentral lists this unclassified non-coding RNA (1081 nucleotides) under Hevea brasiliensis (rubber tree). Lineage: Eukaryota; Viridiplantae; Streptophyta; Magnoliopsida; Malpighiales; Euphorbiaceae. The record is from RNAcentral.